This 623-nucleotide long non-coding RNA is filed under the name Vigna radiata. Its description in RNAcentral is "long non-coding RNA (VRAD_LNC003598)". The record is from RNAcentral. Lineage: Eukaryota; Viridiplantae; Streptophyta; Magnoliopsida; Fabales; Fabaceae.
AUGAAGGUUGAGGGAGUGAAGCACAAUGUAGGUUCGACAAGACCAGAGCGACAGUUUGCAACAAUGGACGUUGAGGAAUAGAACAACAUUAUUGAAGGGAAAUUGAGGUUGAGGGGUAAACCACAAUGGAGGUUGGAGAAAGGUAGAGUAGGAAUGAAGGACAAUUAAGGUUGAGGAAGAAUAAAGUGUGAUUGAAGGGCAAUGCAGAUUAGGGAACAACACGACGCGAUUGAAGGCCAAUGGAGAUAAGGGAAGACCACAACGGUAGUGAAGGAUAAUGAAACUUGGGGAAGAGCACUGCGAGAGUGAAGGCCAACGUGUGGAACACCAAAGCGGGAGUGAAAGAGAAAAGGUUCAUCCAAAGUGAAUAUGAGGAGGGAAAUCCCAAAUUCUGACCUAGUUUCGUCGAUCAUACUGAAAAAUAUAUCUGCCGAUAAAUCCAACACAAUCAUUUAUCAAUAAAUUCAAUCUAUUAACGAAAAUUUUUGUUAAUAAACACAAUACAUAGUAUAUGAAGAAGGAAUAAAUACAAGUGAAUAUGAGGAAGGAAAUUCCAAAUUCUAACAUAAUUUUGUCUAUCUUACUAAAAGAUAUAUCUAUCAAUAAAUCCAACACAAUCAUCU